UACGUAGGGUGCAAGCGUUAAUCGGAAUUACUGGGCGUAAAGCGUGCGCAGGCGGUUUUGUAAGACAGAUGUGAAAUCCCCGGGCUCAACCUGGGACCUGCAUUUGUGACUGCAAGGCUGGAGUACGGCAGAGGGGGAUGGAAUUCCGCGUGUAGCAGUGAAAUGCGUAGAUAUGCGGAGGAACACCGAUGGCGAAGGCAAUCCCCUGGGCCUGUACUGACGCUCAUGCACGAAAGCGUGGGGAGCAAACAGG
Molecule: ribosomal RNA, 253 nt
Filed under: uncultured bacterium
Lineage: Bacteria
Description: partial 16S ribosomal RNA
Rfam family: Bacterial small subunit ribosomal RNA
Source: RNAcentral